AUCUUGAUAGCUUAAAGUUAAAGCGUUACUUUGAAGCAGUAAAAAUGAAUGAAUCUCAAGAUG
RNAcentral lists this transfer RNA (63 nucleotides) under Columbicola columbae (slender pigeon louse). RNAcentral describes it as "tRNA-Phe". It matches the Rfam family "tRNA". Rfam says of the family: Transfer RNA (tRNA) molecules are approximately 80 nucleotides in length. Their secondary structure includes four short double-helical elements and three loops (D, anti-codon, and T loops). Further hydrogen bonds mediate the characteristic L-shaped molecular structure. tRNAs have two regions of fundamental functional importance: the anti-codon, which is responsible for specific mRNA codon recognition, and the 3' end, to which the tRNAs corresponding amino acid is attached (by aminoacyl-tRNA synthetases). tRNAs cope with the degeneracy of the genetic code in two manners: having more than one tRNA (with a specific anti-codon) for a particular amino acid; and 'wobble' base-pairing, i.e. permitting non-standard base-pairing at the 3rd anti-codon position. The record is from RNAcentral. Lineage: Eukaryota; Metazoa; Arthropoda; Insecta; Psocodea; Philopteridae.